GAGUGAACCCUGGCGGUAGGCCUAACACAUGCAAGUCGAACGGCAGCACAGUAAGAGCUUGCUCUUACGGGUGGCGAGUGGCGGACGGGUGAGGAAUACAUCGGAAUCUACUUUUUCGUGGGGGAUAACGUAGGGAAACUUACGCUAAUACCGCAUACGACCUACGGGUGAAAGCAGGGGAUCUUCGGACCUUGCGCGAUUGAAUGAGCCGAUGUCGGAUUAGCUAGUUGGCGGGGUAAAGGCCCACCAAGGCGACGAUCCGUAGCUGGUCUGAGAGGAUGAUCAGCCACACUGGAACUGAGACACGGUCCAGACUCCUACGGGAGGCAGCAGUGGGGAAUAUUGGACAAUGGGCGCAAGCCUGAUCCAGCCAUACCGCGUGGGUGAAGAAGGCCUUCGGGUUGUAAAGCCCUUUUGUUGGGAAAGAAAAGCAGCAGGUUAAUACCCCGCUGUUCUGACGGUACCCAAAGAAUAAGCACCGGCUAACUUCGUG
RNAcentral lists this ribosomal RNA (493 nucleotides) under uncultured bacterium. RNAcentral describes it as "partial 16S ribosomal RNA". It matches the Rfam family "Bacterial small subunit ribosomal RNA", at positions 27 to 507 of the family's 1533-position model. The record is from RNAcentral.